This 468-nucleotide ribosomal RNA is filed under the name uncultured bacterium. Its description in RNAcentral is "partial 16S ribosomal RNA". It matches the Rfam family "Bacterial small subunit ribosomal RNA", at positions 28 to 507 of the family's 1533-position model. The record is from RNAcentral.
GACGAACGCUGGCGGCGUGCCUAACACAUGCAAGUCGAACGGAAAGGCCCUGCGAGCUUGGUGUUCUCGAGUGGCGAACGGGGGAGUAACAGGUGUGUAACCUGCUCUAGACUUUGGGAUAGCUUCACGAAACUGGGGCUAAUACCGUAUAGGAUCUCCUGCUCCAUGGUGGGGGGGGGAUAGUCUCGGCGGGCGGGGAUGGACUCGCGGCUUAUCGGCUUGUUGGUGGGGUAGUGGCUUACCAAGGCUUUGACGGGUAGCCGGCCUGGGAGGGUGGACGGCCACAUUAGGACUGAGAUACGGCGCAGCCUGGAACAGGAGGCAGGGGGGGGGAAUAUUACACAAUGGGCGGGAGCCGGAUGCAGCAACGCCGCGUGCGGGAAGACGGCCUUCGGGUUGUGAACCGCAUUCGCUUGUGACGAAGCGUGAGUGACGGUAAUGGGUGAAGAAGCACCGGCUAACUACGUG